GUCCAGGGUAGUCUAGUGGACAUGGCAUCUGCCCGGUAAGCGGAACAAUUCGAUUCCUUUCGAUUUCAAUUCGAUUCGGUUCGAUUCCCAUCCCUGGACA
This is a non-coding RNA of Cordylochernes scorpioides, 100 nucleotides long. NCBI's taxonomy places the organism in Eukaryota, Metazoa, Arthropoda, Arachnida, Pseudoscorpiones, Chernetidae. The record is from the annotation of a GenBank genome assembly.